GAUGAACGCUGGCGGCGUGCUUAACACAUGCAAGUCGAACGGUGAAGGCGGAGCUUGCUCUGCUGGAUCAGUGGCGAACGGGUGAGUAACACGUGAGCAAUCUGCCCCUGACUCUGGGAUAAGCGCUGGAAACGGCGUCUAAUACUGGAUACGAGCUGCGAAGGCAUCUUCAGCAGCUGGAAAGAAUUUCGGUCAGGGAUGAGCUCGCGGCCUAUCAGCUUGUUGGUGAGGUACUGGCUAACCAAGGCGUCGACGGGUAGCCGGCCUGGGAGGGUGACCGGCCACACUGGGACUGAGACACGGCCCAGACUCCUACGGGAGGCAGCAGUGGGGAAUAUUGCACAAUGGGCGAAAGCCUGAUGCAGCAACGCCGCGUGAGGGAAGACGGCCUUCGGGUUGUAAACCUCUGUUAGCAGGGAAGAAGCGAAAGUGACGGUACCUGCAGAAAAAGCGCCGGCUAACUACGUG
RNAcentral lists this ribosomal RNA (468 nucleotides) under uncultured bacterium. RNAcentral's name for it is "partial 16S ribosomal RNA". It matches the Rfam family "Bacterial small subunit ribosomal RNA", at positions 28 to 507 of the family's 1533-position model. The record is from RNAcentral.